Molecule: non-coding RNA, 30 nt
Filed under: Rattus norvegicus (Norway rat)
Lineage: Eukaryota; Metazoa; Chordata; Mammalia; Rodentia; Muridae
Source: RNAcentral
UUGGAUGGUACUUUUAGAGAGUGACACAAU